This 460-nucleotide ribosomal RNA is filed under the name uncultured bacterium. RNAcentral describes it as "partial 16S ribosomal RNA". It matches the Rfam family "Bacterial small subunit ribosomal RNA", at positions 338 to 795 of the family's 1533-position model. The record is from RNAcentral.
CCUACGGGUGGCAGCAGUGAGGAAUAUUGGUCAAUGGACGAGAGUCUGAACCAGCCAAGUAGCGUGAAGGAUGACUGCCCUAUGGGUUGUAAACUUCUUUUAUAUGGGAAUAAAAUGUUCCACGUGUGGGAUUUUGUAUGUACAACAUGAAUCAGGAUCGGCUAACUCCGUGCCAGCAGCCGCGGUAAUACGGAGGAUCCGAGCGUUAUCCGGAUUUAUUGGGUGUAACGGGACCGUAGGUGGAUUGUUAAGUCAGUUGUGAAAGUUUGCGACUCAACCGUAAAAUUGCAGUUGAAACUGGCAGUCGUGAGUACAGGAGAGGUGAGCGGAAUUCGUGGUGUAGCGGUGAAAUGCUUAGAUAUCACGAAGAACUACGAUUGCGAAGGCAGCUCACUGGACUGCAACUGACACUGAGGCUCGAAAGUGUGGGUAUCAAACAGGAUUAGAUACCCGUGUAGUC